Molecule: ribosomal RNA, 324 nt
Filed under: uncultured eukaryote
Lineage: Eukaryota
Description: partial 18S ribosomal RNA
Rfam family: Eukaryotic small subunit ribosomal RNA
Source: RNAcentral
CCCUUAGAUGUUCUGGGCGGCCCGCGCACUACAUUGGCACUCUCAAUAAGUUCCUAGAUCUAAAACUUUGGGGUAUUCUAUUAAGUGGUGUCGUGACUGGGAUUAACCCUUGCAAUUAUUGGUUACGAACGAGGAAUUCCUUGUAAUCGCGGUUUAUCAGCCCGCGUUGAAUGCGUCCCUGCCCUUUGUACACACCGCCCGUCGCACCUACCGAUUGAAUGACUCGGUGAAAAAUUGGGACCGUGAGUCUGUUUGCUUCAUUGCGAGUGGAUUGAUGGGAACUUUUUUAAACCUCGCCAUUUAGAGGAAGGUGAAGUCGUAACA